This 738-nucleotide ribosomal RNA is filed under the name Planctomycetaceae bacterium. Its description in RNAcentral is "bacterial SSU rRNA". It matches the Rfam family "Bacterial small subunit ribosomal RNA", at positions 1 to 751 of the family's 1533-position model. Lineage: Bacteria; Pseudomonadati; Planctomycetota; Planctomycetia; Planctomycetales; Planctomycetaceae. The record is from RNAcentral.
CCAAUUGAAGGGUUUGAUCCUGGCUCAGAAUGAACGUUGGCGGCGUGGAUUAGGCAUGCAAGUCGAGCGAGAAGCUACUGAUUGAAACUUCGGUUGAUUUCUUUAGUGGACAGCGGCGCAAGGGAGAGUAACGCGUGGAGACCUACCCCAGGGUCGGGCACAAUUGAGGGAAACCUCUUGUAAUACCCGAUAACGUCCCCGGACCAAAGUUUUUCGCCUUGGGAGGGUUCCGCGUCCUAUUAGCUAGUUGGUGAGGUAAUGGCUCACCAAGGCAAUGAUGGGUAGCGGGUGUGAGAGCAUGACCCGUCUCACUGGGACUGAGACACUGCCCAGACACCUACGGGUGGCUGCAGUCGAGAAUCUUCGGCAAUGGACGAAAGUCUGACCGAGCGACGCCGCGUGCGGGAUGAAGGCCUUCGGGUUGUAAACCGCUGUCAGAGGGGAAGAAAGUUUUACUUGACUGAACCUCAGAGGAAGCACGGGCUAAGUUCGUGCCAGCAGCCGCGGUAACACGAACCGUGCGAACGUUAUUCGGAAUCACUGGGCUUAAAGGGUGCGUAGGCGGCUUUGCAAGUGGGAUGUGAAAUCCCUCAGCUCAACUGAGGAACUGCGUUCCAAACUGCAAAGCUAGAGGGAGACAGAGGUAAGCGGAACUGAUGGUGGAGCGGUGAAAUGCGUUGAUAUCAUCAGGAACACCAGUGGCGAAGGCGGCUUACUGGGUCUCUUCUGACGCUGAGG